UAACGCGUAAACAACCUGCCCUUCGGAUGGGGAUAACAGCCGGAAACGGCUGCUAAUACCGAAUACGAUCUUUUCGUCGCAUGACGGAAAGAAGAAAGGAUGGCCUCUAUACAAAGCUAUCGCCGAAGGAGGGGUUUGCGUCUGAUUAGCUGGUUGGAGGGGUAACGGCCCAACAAGGCGAUGAUCAGUAGCCGGUCUGAGAGGAUGAACGGCCACAUUGGGACUGAGAUACGGCCCAGACUCCUACGGGAGGCAGCAGCU
This 261-nucleotide ribosomal RNA is filed under the name uncultured Megasphaera sp. RNAcentral's name for it is "partial 16S ribosomal RNA". It matches the Rfam family "Bacterial small subunit ribosomal RNA", at positions 111 to 355 of the family's 1533-position model. The record is from RNAcentral. Lineage: Bacteria; Bacillati; Bacillota; Negativicutes; Veillonellales; Veillonellaceae.